RNAcentral lists this long non-coding RNA (212 nucleotides) under Lathyrus oleraceus (garden pea). Its description in RNAcentral is "Pisum sativum (pea) long non-coding RNA (PSAT_LNC016633)". Lineage: Eukaryota; Viridiplantae; Streptophyta; Magnoliopsida; Fabales; Fabaceae. The record is from RNAcentral.
UUUUUUUUGCUUGGCUUGAUUUUAAUGUUGUUGUUUUUUGAACAUGAUAACCAUGCUGAACCAUUGCUGCUAAAUCCAUGCUGUAUGCUGCCAACCUGCUUACUGCAUAAACCUCACCCAUACCAUGCUGUUGGUCAGUGUUUGUUUGGUUGAUGAUUGAUGUUACAUAAGUACAUAUGCCAUGCUACCUAUGUGCUUUUGCUUGAUUUGCU